UAAAUUAAUAAAAAUUAAAUUUUAGGAAGUAAAUGAUAAGUUCAGGAAACUUAAAGAAUUUGGCGGUAUUUAUUUUUAUUAGAGGAAUAUGUUUUUUAAAUGAUAAUCCACGAUUAUCUUACUUAGUUUUAUUUAUUUUGUAUAUCUCCGUCUAAAAAAAUUUUUUUAAAAUAUAUUUUAGUUUUUAUAAAAUAAAAUAAGUCAGGUCAAGAUGCAGAUUAUAAUUAAGUUAAAAUGUAUUACAAUAAAGUUAUUUUUGGAUAUAUUUGUGAAUAUAAAUAUUAAAAUUGGAUUUAUAAGUAAAUUUAUUUUAUAAUAAUAAAUUGAAUUUUAAUUAUAAGUAUGUA
This 347-nucleotide ribosomal RNA is filed under the name Hemipsocus chloroticus. RNAcentral's name for it is "partial 12S ribosomal RNA". The record is from RNAcentral. Lineage: Eukaryota; Metazoa; Arthropoda; Insecta; Psocodea; Hemipsocidae.